GCCCUGGUGGUCUAGCGGUUAAGAUGCAGCACUCUCACCGCUGUGGCCUGGGUUCGUUUCCGGGUUAGGGAA
RNAcentral lists this transfer RNA (72 nucleotides) under Equus asinus (donkey). It matches the Rfam family "tRNA". Rfam says of the family: Transfer RNA (tRNA) molecules are approximately 80 nucleotides in length. Their secondary structure includes four short double-helical elements and three loops (D, anti-codon, and T loops). Further hydrogen bonds mediate the characteristic L-shaped molecular structure. tRNAs have two regions of fundamental functional importance: the anti-codon, which is responsible for specific mRNA codon recognition, and the 3' end, to which the tRNAs corresponding amino acid is attached (by aminoacyl-tRNA synthetases). tRNAs cope with the degeneracy of the genetic code in two manners: having more than one tRNA (with a specific anti-codon) for a particular amino acid; and 'wobble' base-pairing, i.e. permitting non-standard base-pairing at the 3rd anti-codon position. The record is from Rfam by way of RNAcentral. RNAcentral also lists the same sequence under 1 other name. Lineage: Eukaryota; Metazoa; Chordata; Mammalia; Perissodactyla; Equidae.